This 93-nucleotide transfer RNA is filed under the name Streptomyces zaomyceticus. RNAcentral describes it as "tRNA-Pro". Lineage: Bacteria; Bacillati; Actinomycetota; Actinomycetes; Kitasatosporales; Streptomycetaceae. The record is from RNAcentral.
CGCGUUGGCGCGCGCCGCGUGCGCGGUGGCCUCGGACGCCGCGGCGCGUGCGCGGGAGGCCGCGCCGGCGGCUUCGAUGGCCGCCUGGCGCGA